RNAcentral lists this ribosomal RNA (253 nucleotides) under uncultured bacterium. RNAcentral's name for it is "partial 16S ribosomal RNA". It matches the Rfam family "Bacterial small subunit ribosomal RNA", at positions 524 to 776 of the family's 1533-position model. The record is from RNAcentral.
UACGUAGGGGGCAAGCGUUGUCCGGAAUCAUUGGGCGUAAAGAGCGCGUAGGCGGUCCGGUAAGUCCGCUCUGAAAGUCCGGGGCUCAACCCCGGGAGGCGGGCGGAUACUGUCGGGCUAGAGUCCGGAAGAGGCGAGUGGAAUUCCUGGUGUAGCGGUGAAAUGCGCAGAUAUCAGGAGGAACACCGAUGGCGAAGGCAGCUCGCUGGGACGGUACUGACGCUGAGGCGCGAAAGCCAGGGGAGCAAACGGG